RNAcentral lists this ribosomal RNA (734 nucleotides) under fungal sp. RNAcentral's name for it is "eukaryotic LSU rRNA". The stretch from base 493 to 734 matches the Rfam family "Eukaryotic large subunit ribosomal RNA", at positions 1 to 244 of the family's 3401-position model. The record is from RNAcentral. Lineage: Eukaryota; Fungi.
UUAAUAAAAGGAUACCUUCGGGUAUACCCCAUCCGUGUCUACAUACUCUUGUUGCUUUGGCAGGCCGUGGUCUCCCACUGUGGGCUCUGCCUGCAUGUGCCUGCCAGAGGACCAAACUCUGAAUGUUAGUGAUGUCUGAGUACUAUAUAAUAGUUAAAACUUUCAACAACGGAUCUCUUGGUUCUGGCAUCGAUGAAGAACGCAGCGAAAUGCGAUAAGUAAUGUGAAUUGCAGAAUUCAGUGAAUCAUCGAAUCUUUGAACGCACAUUGCACCCGGUGGUAUUCCGCCGGGUAUGCCUGUUCGAGCGUCAUUAUAACCACUCAAGCCUGUCUUGGUGUUGGGGAUUGCGAAUCUUGCAGCCCUAGAGUCCAGUAGCGUCACCUGUAGGUCCUAAGCGUAGUAAUUUCUCCUCGCUACAGAGCCUGCUGGUGGAUAGUGUAAAUCCAGUUAAGUCUGUGUGUCCUGCUAUUAAACCCCCAAAUUUUAAAGGUUGACCUCGGAUCAAGUAGGGAUACCCGCUGAACUUAAGCAUAUCAAUAAGCGGAGGAAAAGAAACCAACAGGGAUUACCUUAGUAACGGCGAGUGAAGCGGUAACUGCCUCAAAUUUGAAAGCUGCCAACAGGCCGCGUUGUAAUUUGUAGAAGAUGCUUUGGGUGUCGGCCCAGUCUAAGUUCCUUGGAACAGGACGUCAUAGAGGGUGAGAAUCCCGUAUGUGAUUGGUGCCGUCCCCCG